ACUUUUGCACCAAGGACUAUAUUGCCUGAUGGGCUUUUCAAUUUGUUCAUAGUAACCACAGUGAGUAAAUGUGGCCUUCAACAGUGUUCUCCAUACAGGUUAGGGCUAUAAGGAGUACUAUGUCUUAUGCUCUGUUGCAGUUAUGUUUUUCAUUUAAAAAAUGAUCCAAAUAAAACACUAUAUCAGUUGUAACAAUAACAAAAACAUACAUUUAGUUGUAUGUCUAUUCUUCCACAUUAACCCAAUGUGAAUAUUUCUUUCACUAUGUUUAUUAAUGAAGAACAGCAUUUCAUAAAGAGUGUUUAUAAUUUACAACCACAUAACUUAAAGCAUUUCAGGCAUAAUUAAUGAUAAGGAUGAAACAUAAGACUGAGCUUGCAUGAUAGGGACCACUUCAAAUCUUUGGUUCUGUAGUUGGCAUCAGACAGACUUGCAUACUGUACUCAUGUGGGCUUUGUAGCUUUCUGGGAUGAACAAUGAAAAAUGACCUCAUCAUAACAAAAUGCUUCUCACUUUUAGAAAAUAUAAGUUACGAACUGACUGGCAUUGUUCUACCACAAGAAAAAUAGCAUGGUGUCACUGAACACAUGACAUACUUACAUCACGAAACAUGGAGAUCCAAGUCUCAGCUGAAGCAUGACCUCCCUCCCUAGUAUGCAUGGCGCUGGAAGGUAAUUUACAUGCAACCAGAAGAGCAGUAAUCAGCAACAUCACCCAACUCCAAACCCCGUAACCUACAACAGUGACCUGCCUGGAAGAUAUAGUCUGCAAUAGUGGCACAAGUGUUAUAGGAGUAACCAGUCACUUUCUGAUUGGAUUUGCAGCCUACUCCAUGAAAUGGAACACAUACCUGACCCUACUAAAGUGGCCAAGAACAUGAAACUAAACAUUUUAUGGGCCAGGGCUGGGCGGGGGAACCCUACAACUAUAUUUUGCUAAAGGAAUAUAACAGUAAAAUGACUUCUGAUUACACAUUGUUAUGGUAAGGAAUCAGUAUGUCACUCAGUCUUGAUUAGAAAACCUUCUUGUUAGGGGUUGGUCUGGUGCUGUGCAUACAAAUGUUAAAUUCUGAACCCCAAAAUCUAGUUGCUGUCCAAAUGAGUAAUUCUCACUUACACCUGCCUAUGAACCUUACUCCCCAGUUUAAUUCCUAAUUGGUCAGUAAAUGUCUGGGGCUUAUGGCUAAGCAGAAAAGAUAGGAAGGCAGGUCUUAGAAUCAAGUGGGGAGGUCUCUAGAGAGACCACUAGUU
RNAcentral lists this long non-coding RNA (1250 nucleotides) under Mus musculus (house mouse). RNAcentral's name for it is "long non-coding RNA chr16:24870488-24871738". The record is from RNAcentral. Lineage: Eukaryota; Metazoa; Chordata; Mammalia; Rodentia; Muridae.